RNAcentral lists this ribosomal RNA (520 nucleotides) under uncultured Entrophospora. RNAcentral's name for it is "SSU rRNA". It matches the Rfam family "Eukaryotic small subunit ribosomal RNA", at positions 569 to 1082 of the family's 1831-position model. Lineage: Eukaryota; Fungi; Glomeromycota; Glomeromycetes; Entrophosporales; Entrophosporaceae. The record is from RNAcentral.
AGCAGCCGCGGUAAUUCCAGCUCCAAUAGCGUAUAUUAAAGUUGUUGCAGUUAAAAAGCUCGUAGUUGAAUUUCGGGAUUGACGUGAUGGUCGUGCCUUAAGGGGUAUGAACUGUUGCUGUUGAUUUCUCACCUUCUGGAGAAACUUGAUGUCCUUAAUUGGGUGUCUUGCGGAUCCAGGACCUUUACCUUGAAAAAAUUUAGAGUGUUUAAAGCAGGCAUUUUGCUCGAAUACAUUAGCAUGGAAUAAUAGAAUAGGACGGCAUGGUUCUAUUUUGUUGGUUUCUAGGAUCACCGUAAUGAUUAAUAGGGAUAGUUGGGGGCAUUAGUAUUCAAUUGUCAGAGGUGAAAUUCUUGGAUUUAUUGAAGACUAACUACUGCGAAAGCAUUUGCCAAGGAUGUUUUCAUUAAUCAAGAACGAAAGUUAGGGGAUCGAAGACGAUCAGAUACCGUCGUAGUCUUAACCAUAAACUAUGCCGACUAGGAAUCAGACGAUGUUAAUUUUUUCAAUGACUCGUUUG